This 253-nucleotide ribosomal RNA is filed under the name uncultured bacterium. Its description in RNAcentral is "partial 16S ribosomal RNA". It matches the Rfam family "Bacterial small subunit ribosomal RNA", at positions 524 to 776 of the family's 1533-position model. The record is from RNAcentral.
GACAGAGGGUGCAAACGUUGUUCGGAAUUACUGGGCGUAAAGCGCAUGUAGGCGGCCAAGCAGGUCGGAUGUGAAAUCCCUCGGCUCAACCAAGGAAGUGCAUUCGAAACCGCAUGGCUGGAGUCCCGGAGAGGAUGGUGGAAUUCUCGGUGUAGAGGUGAAAUUCGUAGAUAUCGAGAGGAACACCGGCGGCGAAAGCGGCCAUCUGGACGAGGACUGACGCUGAGAUGCGAAAGCGUGGGGAGCAAACAGG